Molecule: long non-coding RNA, 2216 nt
Filed under: Brassica napus (rape)
Lineage: Eukaryota; Viridiplantae; Streptophyta; Magnoliopsida; Brassicales; Brassicaceae
Description: long non-coding RNA (BNAP_LNC025139)
Rfam family: tRNA (bases 1155-1227)
Source: RNAcentral
GUUUUGGAGAUAAGAGCCGUACUUGGUGGCGGAGAGGUGCAUCUUGAUGUCGUCGAGGUUUUCACACUGGCAGAGAUUGUUGUAAUCGGCGGUGGUGAGAAGACCAGCACGGUGGCCUCUCACGAUCGCCUCCAGGUAUCCGCCGUGGAUGUUGAACGUGAGCGCCUCGAAUCCGUACAUCCUUCUCUUCCGGAGAUAUUUCAGAUCUCGGAGAUUGAUGGUGAAGAGAUCUGAAGGAAAAAAGAUUGAAGCAGAGAGACAGAGAGAUCGACGUGGGGGAAGAUAGCUUUGAAUUUGAUUGGUUGGUUUGCAAUCUCGGCCUUUGGCGCGUCGAAUUACGAUAUUAUCCUUAAACCGGUCUGAUAAACCAAAGAAAUUGGAGAUUGCUUUGGGUUUAGUUUUGGUUUGGUAGCAUGCAGGUUUGGUUUGAACAGUUAAUUCGAUUCGGUAGUUCGGUUUAUGGUUAGUUUGGUUCGACGAAAUAAUGCCAAAUCAAACCCAAACGAAAAGCUGAUUUGGUUCAAUGUUCGGUUAGUUUGUUUUAUGGAAAUUAUGAAGAAAUUAAUUUAAGUUUUUUGGUUUCAGCAAACUUCAGACAGAUCACAAGAUCAACAAUAACCAAAAAAAAAGUUUUGAUUUUUUCUGUUACCGAACUCAUAAAACUUUAUCAAACUUCAAGACAGUCACAAGAUUAACAAUAGCAAAAUAAAGUUCUGAUUUUUCUAUUACCAAACUCAUAUAUUUGAUCAAAAUUCAGACAGAAGACAAGCUCAACAAUAACAAAAAAAAAACAAGUUAAGAUUUUUCUAUUACCAAACUGAUAGAUUUGAUCAAACUUCAGACAGAACACAAAAUCAUCAUCAUCAACAACAACAACAAAAGCUUCGUACGAUGGUCAAAAUAUACGAAGCUAGGAUACCUUGAUGACGCUCUUGAGGUGCUUGACGAGCUCGGAGUCCGUUGUGGGUUCAUGAGAGUGGUCUAAUCUUCCAACAACAAUCAGACUCUAAAACUUGUCAAAAUGAAUCACACUAAAAGAGUGAUGAGAUGAAACACGUACCAAGAGGAGUGAAGAGAGCAGAACGGUCGACGGAGAUGGUUGUUCCAGCGACGGCACUUGCCUCUUCGACAUGUUCAACGGUGCUAUUCUACAAGGGGAUGUAGCUCAGAUGGUAGAGCGCUCGCUUAGCAUGCGAGAGGUACGGGGAUCGAUACCCCGCAUCUCCAUUCUAUUUUUUCCUUCUUAUUCUUUUUGUUUACAAUUAUACUUCUGCUUUUCCUCCUUCCACAGUUUCAUGAUUUAUAUCAUCCACUAUUCGAAAUCUAUAAAUGGAUUUUUAUAUUUUAACCAAGUUAAAGAAAAUUUUCAAUGCAUAGCAUAUGACAUUACAUAAAGCUUUUACAAACAACAGGUUCACUUUACACUCUCGACCUUUACAUUUCUACACAAUACAAAGUCACAUAUCAAAAUCUUUAGACCUUCAGGACCAAAGAUAUCUUCUCGAGUUCCCACCAACUCAAAGGAACAAAAACAAGGAUCCCAACAUUCCAAAACUUCCCAAGCUUCACUUUCCACAGAACCAUCUCUUUUGCAGCAGGAAGCUAGAAGAUCCAACCGGUCCAGACAUGAAUAAGAACUAACUCCUAUACUCUGAGUCAUGUCUCUUAUUAUCCUUUAGCCUUUGGUGAUCCACGAGCAUACCGAUAAGGCGAAGAACCUUGAGGCAAGUUUAAGCUAGACAAACUCCUCAAAGGCACUCCAUUCCUCGACACAAACCCUCCACCUCCUUGUGUUCUUACACCGUUCUUCCCAACCGGCUGCAUAGUCUGGAAAGAAGAAGAUGAGCUAGCAAAGUCUUUAAGACUUGGUAACGGCUUUAACGCUUCGACCACUUCACUCAUCUUUGGUCUAGCUUUGCAGUCUCGGUUCAGACACUGCGCCGCUACUUGUGUGGCCUUCUGAGCACCCUUGAUCGAGUAGUGACCCUCUAAGCGAGGAUCUAACAGUCUGUAAAACCUCUUCUUGUCUAAAAGAUGAGGUCUCGCACCUCUCACGAUCGCCUCCAGGUAUCCGCCGUGGAUGUUGAACGUGAGCGCCUCGAAUCCGUACAUCCUUCUCUUCCGGAGAUAUUUCAGAUCUCGGAGAUUGAUGGUGAAGAGAUCUGAAGGAAAAAAGAUUGAAGCAGAGAGACAGAGAGAUCGACGUGGGGGAAGAU